RNAcentral lists this ribosomal RNA (459 nucleotides) under uncultured bacterium. RNAcentral describes it as "partial 16S ribosomal RNA". It matches the Rfam family "Bacterial small subunit ribosomal RNA", at positions 338 to 795 of the family's 1533-position model. The record is from RNAcentral.
CCUACGGGUGGCUGCAGUGAGGAAUAUUGGUCAAUGGCCGGAAGGCUGAACCAGCCAAGCCGCGUGAAGGACGGAGGUGCCAAGCAUUGUAAACUUCUUUUGUCAAGGGACAAAAUCAGGCUCGAGUGCCUGACCGAGGGUACUUGACGAAAAAGCUUCGGCUAACUCCGUGCCAGCAGCCGUGGUAAUACGGAGGCUGAGAGCGUUAUCCGGAUUUAUUGGGUUACAGGGGUGUGUAGGCGGGCUGUUAAGUCAGCGGUAAAAGCCCGGGGCUCAACCCCGGCGAGCCGUUGAAACUGGGUGUCUUGAGAUGUCGAGGGGUAUGCGGAAUGCGCGGUGUAGCAGUGAAAUGCUUAGAUAUUGCGCAGAACACCGGUGGCGAAGGCAGCAUACCGGAGGCGAUCUGACGCUGAGGCACGAAGGCGUGGGUAUCGAAAGGGAUUAGAUACCCGGGUAGUC